This 248-nucleotide ribosomal RNA is filed under the name uncultured bacterium. Its description in RNAcentral is "partial 16S ribosomal RNA". It matches the Rfam family "Bacterial small subunit ribosomal RNA", at positions 103 to 334 of the family's 1533-position model. The record is from RNAcentral.
CGGGUGAGUAACACGUAAACAACCUGCCUUCAGGAUGGGGACAACAGACGGAAACGACUGCUAAUACCGAAUAAGUUCCAAGGGCCGCAUGGCCCAUGGAAGAAAAGGUGGCCUCUACCUGUAAGCUAUCGCCUGAAGAGGGGUUUGCGUCUGAUUAGCUGGUUGGAGGGGUAACGGCCCACCAAGGCGACGAUCAGUAGCCGGUCUGGGAGGAUGAACGGCCACACUGGAACUGAGACACGGUCCAA